RNAcentral lists this unclassified non-coding RNA (381 nucleotides) under uncultured Actinomycetes bacterium. RNAcentral's name for it is "uncultured actinobacterium contains 16S-23S intergenic spacer region". The record is from RNAcentral. Lineage: Bacteria; Bacillati; Actinomycetota; Actinomycetes.
UCCGGUUUGUCACCGGCGGUCUCCUUAGAGUUCCCUCCGAAGAGAGUUGCUGGCAACACGGGACAAGGGUUGCGCUCGUUGCGGGACUUAACCCAACAUCUCACGACACGGGCUGACGACAGCCAUGCACCACCUGUCACCCGGCCACAAGGGGGGCACCAUCUCUGAUGCUUUCCGGGCGAUGUCAAGCCUUGGUAAGGUUCUUCGCGUUGCGUCGAAUUAAGCCACAUGCUCCGCUGCUUGUGCGGGCCCCCGUCAAUUCCUUUGAGUUUUAGCCUUGCGGCCGUACUCCCCAGGCGGGGCACUUAAUGCGUUAGCUGCGGCACCGACGACGUGGAAUGUCGCCAACACCUAGUGCCCACCGUUUACGGCGUGGACUAC